CCUACGGGUGGCUGCAGUGAGGAAUAUUGGUCAAUGGACGAGAGUCUGAACCAGCCAAGUAGCGUGAAGGAUGACUGCCCUAUGGGUUGUAAACUUCUUUUAUAUGGGAAUAAAACGUUCCACGUGUGGGAUUUUGUAUGUACCAUAUGAAUAAGGAUCGGCUAACUCCGUGCCAGCAGCCGCGGUAAUACGGAGGAUCCGAGCGUUAACCGGAUUUAUUGGGUUUAAAGGGAGCGUAGGUGGAUUGUUAAGUCAGUUGUGAAAGUUUGCGGCUCAACCGUAAAAUUGCAGUUGAAACUGGCAGUCUUGAGUACAGUAGAGGUGGGCGGAAUUCGUGGUGUAGCGGUGAAAUGCUUAGAUAUCACGAAGAACUCCGAUUGCGAAGGCAGUUCACUGGACUGCAACUGACACUGAGGCUCGAAAGUGUGGGUAUCAAACAGGAUUAGAUACCCUUGUAGUC
This 460-nucleotide ribosomal RNA is filed under the name uncultured bacterium. RNAcentral's name for it is "partial 16S ribosomal RNA". It matches the Rfam family "Bacterial small subunit ribosomal RNA", at positions 338 to 795 of the family's 1533-position model. The record is from RNAcentral.